UUGCGAAAAAAUUAAGCAAUUUAAUAAAUUUAUUUGCUUUUUUUUUUCUUCCCUCCACGCAAUAAAUUCGUUGCACGUAGAUAUGAAGUGACUUUUUUACUUUUCCGAUAAAAUGUUCUCUUAAAAAUUUUGUGCAAUUAUAUUGAGUAAAAAAAAAAUUAGUCAAAAUUACUCAUUUUGUGCAACAAACAACUCAACUCUCAAGAACAUUUUUGGAAAAUGUGAUAUAGAAUUUAAGGCUUAUACUUAUACAUAUUACAAUACAGAACAACUGUUAUUUUCGUUUGCCUAAAAAUAUCAAUAUUAUUGAUUAUUCUACCUCUUAUUACUUGACGACCCUGCUUGCUCAACGGAUUUUGUACUUGCUUAAACGACUGACCGCGGCUAUUCUCACCCGGACCGUACUCGCUGACAAAAAAUGGAGAAAAAAAAACAGAAGCCCUAUUCGGAAUUUGAGAGGCAACUGCUUGUACAGUUGGUGCAGUCCAAUAUUGGUAUUCUGGAGAACAGGAAGACGGAUGCCGUUUCCCAAAAAAAAAACACGAGGCUUGGGAAGAAUUAACAAUGGAAUUUAAUAACUCUAACGUGUCACAUACUGUUGUUUCUAAACAAUUAAAAAAGAUGUGGCAAAAUAUGAAGGCAAAAGCUAGGGAUACCAAAACCCUUGAAGCCCAAAGGAAGAGAACAGGAGGAGGACCUGCACUGCCUGAAAUGGAUCCAAUGGCAGUCUUGCCACAUAGAAUGCCGAUAAUAGAUAUACCUACAGACUGUGACACAUUAACUACAACAGAAUCUAAUACUGAUCAUGAUGAUGAUGAUGAAAGCUGGAGACCAAAGAGGGCAAGAGCGUCCAGUAUAGAUCCCACAUUUGAAUAUGUAAAUCAGCUGGAAACAAGCCACAACUGGACUAAAGAACCUCGGUUAACGGAAACCAGUGUUGAGGUCACCACUAAAACUGAAUCAGCAAGCAUAAAAAAUCAAUCUUCAUUUACGGACCUUAAAAAAAAAUUGAUGUGGCAAGAAUUGGACAACAACAAAAAAAAAUUUGAGAUAGAAAUGGAACAUUUAAAAUUAAAAAAUC
RNA transcript from Pieris rapae (cabbage white), 1081 nucleotides. RefSeq lists it as uncharacterized. NCBI's taxonomy places the organism in Eukaryota, Metazoa, Arthropoda, Insecta, Lepidoptera, Pieridae. The transcript has 3 exons. The record is from RefSeq and is a predicted model, not a curated record.